GACAGCGGGUGCAAGCGUUGUCCGGAGUUACUGGGCGUAAAGGGCGCGGAGGCGGUCUGCGGCGUCGGCGCUGAAAGCGCCCCGCUUAACGGGGCGAGGCGUGCCGAUACGCGCAGACUUGAGGCGAGCAGAGGGUGGUGGAAUUCCGGGUGGAGCGGUGAAAUGCGUAGAGAUCCGGAGGAACGCCAGUGGGGAAGCCGGCCACCUGGGCUCGUCCUGACGCUGCGGCGCGACCGCGUGGGGAGCAAACCGG
RNAcentral lists this ribosomal RNA (253 nucleotides) under uncultured bacterium. RNAcentral describes it as "partial 16S ribosomal RNA". It matches the Rfam family "Bacterial small subunit ribosomal RNA", at positions 524 to 776 of the family's 1533-position model. The record is from RNAcentral.